RNAcentral lists this ribosomal RNA (495 nucleotides) under uncultured bacterium. Its description in RNAcentral is "partial 16S ribosomal RNA". It matches the Rfam family "Bacterial small subunit ribosomal RNA", at positions 28 to 507 of the family's 1533-position model. The record is from RNAcentral.
GACGAACGCUGGCGGCGUGCCUAAUACAUGCAAGUAGAACGCUGAAGGAGGAGCUUGCUUCUCUGGAUGAGUUGCGAACGGGUGAGUAACGCGUAGGUAACCUGCCUGGUAGCGGGGGAUAACUAUUGGAAACGAUAGCUAAUACCGCAUAACAGUAGAUAUCGCAUGAUAUCUACUUGAAAGGUGCAAUUGCAUCACUACCAGAUGGACCUGCGUUGUAUUAGCUAGUUGGUGAGGUAACGGCUCACCAAGGCGACGAUACAUAGCCGACCUGAGAGGGGGGGGGGCCACACUGGGACUGGGACACGGCCCAGCCUCCUAGGGGGGGCAGCAGUGGGGAUUCUUCGGAAAGGGACGGAAGUCUGACCGAGCAACGCCGCGUGAGGAAAGAGGGUUUUCGGAUCGUAAGGCUCUGUUGAAAGAGAAGAACGAGUGUGAGAGGGGAAAUUUCACACUGUGACGGUAUCUUACCAGAAAGGGCCGGCUAACUCCGUC